CAGCAAUACCAUUCUGAAAGCCCCUGUUCUCGACUGAUCACAGAAGUUAAGCAUCACCUGCGUGGAGUACUUGGGAGGUGAUCACCUGGAAACACCGAGUAU
Molecule: non-coding RNA, 102 nt
Organism: Nephila pilipes (giant wood spider)
Lineage: Eukaryota; Metazoa; Arthropoda; Arachnida; Araneae; Nephilidae
Source: the annotation of a GenBank genome assembly